Mus caroli (Ryukyu mouse) is the source of this 1638-nucleotide long non-coding RNA. RefSeq lists it as uncharacterized. The record is from RefSeq and is a predicted model, not a curated record. NCBI's taxonomy places the organism in Eukaryota, Metazoa, Chordata, Mammalia, Rodentia, Muridae.
CUUCUGAGUUAAUUUGUCAUCAUCCCUGUGACAGGAAGAGCCUUGGUUGUGUCAGCAACACAGUAUGGGAGUACAGAUGCUGGCGACCCACCCCUACGGAUGGUCACUCACCCCACACCACCAGGGAGUUUUCUAGAUGUGCACGGUGUUUGACGCAUGACCAGAGUGGCGGUUUUGCUAAGCUAAUAACAGGCAGAUGACGGAAUAAUGCACAGGGGAUGGUGACUGAUCAUAUGUGGUUCUCAACCGGCAGCAGUGACCCUUCAUGAUUGCUGGACAGCUGAUUGCCACAGCUGUGGAAGAGCACCACAGACAAGAUGCUGCAGUAUGCCUAGAUGUGAGGCUGUUGAUGUUCAUGCGCAUUUUCUCCAGCCCGGACUUGACCUUCUUAGACACCCUGAUCCAGUGGUGGCUCAUCUAACCGUGACUGACGUCUCGUUUCCAGCUCCAACUCUUCCUUGGGCGUCAAGGCACUAUUCCCAACAGUCUGCUGGGGGGUCGUCCCUAACCAGACCACAAGCAGCCUUGCUUGCUUCAAUGCCUGUAUCUUAAUACCUUGGAUGACUUACGUCCUACUUCCCACGGCUAGACUGUGCUUUUGCUAGGUACCUGCCUAGAAGCCACCGGAUGAGCCAUAGCUCACCACUGUACCUUGGAUCUCCAGCAUCCUGCAUAAUGGAACCAACUUGGUGUUUUAAAAGAAAAGAGCUGCUGACGACAUCUUCGUCUGAACUUUAGCAGGCACCGUAUACAUUUGGAGACUUCAAAGGUUCAAAUCCUAGCCCUAUAUGUCCCCAAGUCUUUGAUCCUUGACCUUGUGGAACUGUAAUUUUCCCUCUCCUGUAAAAGUGAAACACAAGUGUGCCUUCCUCACGAGCUGCACUGAGGAAGUGAGACGGUGUGUAUAUAUGCCAGAUUGCAUCUUCCCAAAGGUGCCUGAAUCAAUAUUUAUCCCCCUUCCCACAUGCUCUUGUUAUAGUGUGACUCAUACUUCUCCCACGUAUCCCUUGAGUCUUGAGGGCUUGAGACUGCUCUAUCAAUAGAACAUGCUGGGAGCAAUGCUUUGUGGUUUUAAAGGUGAAGUUAUUCAAAGGAGAUGCCAUCUACCUGGCUCUACUUGAUAGAUACCUGCCCUUAGAAUCCAGCCACCAUGUCGUGAGGAAGCUCAACUGGGUGUGCACUGGAACACCUUGCUGGAGGAGAACCGAGGCUCUCAGGUGCUUACCACCACUGCCGGAUUCCUGGAUGGAACCUGUGACUUCACCUGCAGCCUUUGUGUCUACCACAGAGAUCUAAGUUGCCACCAGGCAGGAACGGCUGCACCUUGUCCCCAUUGUGCUCUGUCCAGACUCCAGACUCACUGACCGCAUGAGCAUUAAAAUAUUGCUCUGCACUGUGGUGUCUUGGGGUCAUUUGUUAUGCCGCCAUGGAUAUGGGAAGAGUGUAUAAAACUGCCAAAUAAGUAUAUCUAACAUUUUCACAUUAAAACUUUGGAAUCCUGUAUAUUUUUCAUGAUUUAGUAUAAACAUUACCUCCUCAACAAAGAUUAUCCCAAACCAGCCAAAUAGAAUGAUAACCAAGCAUUUACCCUACGCUGGGUUUCUUUCCGGACAGACUGUGCAUGCAUUAUCUCAUUUG